AUCGGGGCAGACGGUGAUGCCGGCCCUGAGGGAUGAGGCGCUUCGUGUGGGCGCGCAGCCAUGUGCCGCCCUCACCAAGCCCGGCACUGAGGCAGCUGCAGCGGGCACCCAAGUGCUGCGCUUCCCCUCCGACGCUCCUGCACCGCGCGUGAUUUGCAGUGAUUCAACCUCUACGAUGGAGAUAAUACCAGUGGUUGCUAUCUGUAUGCUAUUACUGCAGCCGUCAUGUCUGAUGCGGUGUGCACCAACACAGGUCUGUGCUGCAGCUGCCAGCUACAAAAUGUGACACCAGCUUCUGCGGAUUUAAUUAACAGAGCCAGCAGGAGGUGCACCGUAACAGGAGCAACAGAAUCCACUCGUAACGUAGACACAUGAAAGCACUUUCUGAGAGUGAUAAAAACUCUUGAGUGUCCCUCACAGAGCUUCUUCUGGUCAUGGCAUUGACAGACACCUCUCUCUGAGUCAAGCCACAGGUCCAUCCUCAAGUUCUCCAGAUGAGUGAACAACAGUGGGCUUUUCAGGGUCUCUAAAGGACUUCACGCAGCCAUGUUCACUACGGCACGCAAGGACUUCAUGGAGAAAAUCACAGAAUCACAGAAUCGUCUAGGUUGGAAGAGACCUCCAAGAUCACCCAGUCCAACCUCUGACCUAACACUAACAAGUCCUCCACUAGACCGUAUCACUGAGCUCUACAUC
This is a long non-coding RNA of Cygnus atratus (black swan), 696 nucleotides long. RefSeq lists it as uncharacterized. Lineage: Eukaryota; Metazoa; Chordata; Aves; Anseriformes; Anatidae. The record is from RefSeq and is a predicted model, not a curated record. The transcript has 3 exons.